This is a long non-coding RNA of Portunus trituberculatus (swimming crab), 352 nucleotides long. RefSeq lists it as uncharacterized. The record is from RefSeq and is a predicted model, not a curated record. Lineage: Eukaryota; Metazoa; Arthropoda; Malacostraca; Decapoda; Portunidae. The transcript has 3 exons.
AUGGAGUGAAGGUGUGGGUUUGGGGGGGUGAGCGGAGGAGGCGUGGAAGGCUCAGUGUGUCAGUAAGGCACUCAGCUGGCCGGCACUGUAGAGAGAACGUGUGCGGAGCCUCCCUCAGUGCCUCUCCAGCUGCCUCUUCCCGCGUGGACUAGUGAAGGUGUUUGCAGUGAACGAACAAGCGCACGAAGACCAGCAAAUACAUACACACACGCAUACACAUACAUACAUACAUACACACACACACACACACACACAUACAUACAUCAUCUCCGGAUUGCCAGGCACAUCAUCUGUCUCGUCCACGUGCUGCGAGGAUCACAGGCUCCCGGCGUCCACCGCGCCCGUGACUGAG